This is a non-coding RNA of Vicia faba (fava bean), 234 nucleotides long. The record is from the annotation of a GenBank genome assembly. Lineage: Eukaryota; Viridiplantae; Streptophyta; Magnoliopsida; Fabales; Fabaceae.
AUGCUUUCAACUUCUUUUAUAGAGGGAACCAAAGAGACGUUGGAGAAGACUUCUUGCAAAAGUGAGUCUUCGAGAGAAACAUCAACAAAUGCGUUGGAAAGAUUUCUGAUAUGGUUAAUACCGUUGCAAUGCCAUUUGAAACUCAUUUGCUACAAAAGGAAUUAUCAAUUGCAAUUAUUCAAGCUUAUGCAAAUUUCUACUAAGUCUUCACGUGAUCAGAAGAAGGAAAAUUGA